CGGCCGCCGAGGUCCGGGCGGACGUGGCGGCCCGGCUCCGGGCCGGGCUGGACCGCAUGCCCCGGUUCCGGCACCGGGUGGCCGC
RNAcentral lists this transfer RNA (85 nucleotides) under Asanoa siamensis. RNAcentral describes it as "tRNA-Arg". The record is from RNAcentral. Lineage: Bacteria; Bacillati; Actinomycetota; Actinomycetes; Micromonosporales; Micromonosporaceae.